Molecule: non-coding RNA, 1341 nt
Filed under: Pterocladiella musciformis
Lineage: Eukaryota; Rhodophyta; Florideophyceae; Gelidiales; Pterocladiaceae
Description: SSU rRNA
Rfam family: Bacterial small subunit ribosomal RNA
Source: RNAcentral
AGAGUUUGAUCCUGGCUCAGAAUGAACGUUAAUGGUUAGCAUAACACAUGCGAGUUAAAGUAAUUUACUGGCGAACGGGUGAGUAAUUUAUAGAAAUUAAUUCAGAUCUAUUAUUAAAUGUAUGAAAAGAUUAACUCGUCUCUGAAAAAAUCUAUAAAAGAUUAAGUUGUUGGUAAAUUAAGCUUACCAAGCUUACGAUCUUUAGUUGAUCUAUGCGGAUGAACAACCACACUGGAGAUGAAAACGAUCCAGACUUUAUUAAAAGGCAGCAGUGAGGAAUAUUGAGCAAUGAGCGAAAGCUUGACUCAGCUAAACCAUUUGUGUGAUUGAAGACAAGUCGUUGUAAAACACAUUAUCAUGAAAAUAAUGAUUGAAUUCAAAAAGUCCUGGCUAAUUUCGUGCCAGCAGCCGCGGUAAAACGGGAAGGGCAAACGUUAUUCGGAUUAAUUGGGCGUAAAGAAUAUGUAGGCUGAUUAUUAACUUCUAAUUAAAAACUUAAAGUUUAUUUUUAUUUAAUUUAGAAAAAUAAUAGUCUAGAGUUUAAAUAAAGAUUAUAGAAUUUUAAAUGUAACAGUAAAAUGUAUUGAUAUUUAAAGGAAUCUCAAUUGCGGAAGCAGUAAUCUAAUUUAAAACUGACGCUGAGAUAUUAAAGUAUAGGAAUCAAAAGGGAUUAGAUACCCCUGUAGUCUAUACCCUGAACGAUGAGUGUUUACUUUAAAGUCUUCUAAAGUAAAGCUAACGCAAAACACUCCGCCUGGGAACUACGGUCGCAAGACUAAAACUCAAAGGAAUUGACGGGGACCUGCACAAGCAGUGGAGCAUGUGGUUUAAAUCGACAAUACGCGCGGAAUCUUACCAAUUUUUGCAUAAAAACAGGUGUUGCAUGGCUGUCGUCAGUCCGUGCUGUGAAGCGUUUGGUUCAUUCCAAUAAACGGACAAAACUCUUAUGUAUUUUAGAAUAUAAACAGUUGAAGAUAUUUCAAAGGAAGGAAAGAAUAACGUCAAGUCCUCAUGACCCUAAUGAAUUGGGCUACUUUCAUGUGCUACAAUGAUUUUUUCAAUGAGAAGCAAAGCUGAAAAUCAUAGCUAAACUUUAACAAGAAUCAAGUACGGAUUAUUUUCUGAAAAUCGAAAAUAUGAAGCUGGAAUUGCUAGUAAUCGUAAAUUAGAAUGUUACGGUGAAUUUGUUCUCAGGUCUUGUACACACCGCCCGUCACGCUAUGGAAAUUUAUUUUAUUGGAAAAUUUUAUUUAAGGUAAAAAAAGGACUGAAGUGAAGUCGUAACAAGGUAGCCGUAGGGGAACCUGUGGCUGGAUUAUAAUUAUAUAGAUUUCUACUACC